Molecule: RNA transcript, 3425 nt
Organism: Dunckerocampus dactyliophorus (ringed pipefish)
Lineage: Eukaryota; Metazoa; Chordata; Actinopteri; Syngnathiformes; Syngnathidae
Exons: 9
Source: RefSeq, a predicted model, not a curated record
ACUGCUACUGCUACCACACAGCAAAUUGAGGAGUGUUAAUUUUUUGGUGUUGAUGAGAAUCUUGAAGUUGGAGUGUCAAUCUUGCACUAGUUGGAGUUCUAACACUGCAUUUUCUUAAAAAUGUUCAAUUUAACACUGGAUCAUGAAAGUGUCGUAGUUAAAGUGGAGUGUUGAAAAUGUUUAAAUCGUGUUAGUGUCACAGACAUUCAACACUUCCACACUCCAUUUAACACCUAACAGUGUUCACGUGUCUUAAGCUCCGCCCACGGACAUUUCAUUUAGACUCCACCCCUCACUUCACGUUGCUGAAAUGAAAAGCAGAUGGAAGAAGUUGACAAUUAGGAAUCAUUUUGCAUCAGUAGUGUUGCUGUGAGCUGAAUCGGCACUGCCUGUGCAACAUUUGGCAAAGUAAGUGAACGCUACGUUAUAUCUUCAUUUUGAAUGAGCUAAUGGCUAACUAGCUAAUUGGCACGAGGAGCCCCCACACGUAGGCCUGCUGGCCCCCAGCAAAGGACUUGAUAUGCUGUACAAGAUACAAGAUAUCAAGAAGAAUGCAUCUUUAUUUUUCUUCUUGAUUCGCAGAAAGCCUUUGCUUGAGUCUUACAUGAAUGUGAGGUGGGUGGAGAUGUCUUUGAGCUUGUCAAGUCAGGUGUUUUGACUUUCAAGGUCCUUUUAUCAGUGACAGGUAAGGAUGUGAAAACAUUUGAAAAUGCAUGAGGUGGUUUAGAUAUCACAGGCAGUGUGGACCCAUCAGGUACCUUGGUUUUGUCCAAAUGAGAGAUUGUUGUUGUGAUCUUUGAGGCCUCAAAAUGUAUUUUUGGUCUCACUUUACAAUAAGGUACACAAAUACAGUAGUUACUGAGGAACUAAUUACUAAAGCACAAAUUUACAGUAGUAGAGGAUCUAAUGAGGAACUAAAAAGGAACCAAUGAGCAGAGGAGUUACUGAGGAACUAAAACACAUACAUUUAGAGUAGUUACUAAAACUGAGUAGUGGAUAGGGUUAGAAAGGUUUGUUCCUCAUCCUGCACGACUGUAAUUUUACGUACCUUAUUGUAAAGUGAGACCAUAUUUUCAUUUGAUAUUCAAUUUUUAGCCCCUUUUCUAUAGGUUGAAAUUCCCCCCAAUUUUUUUGUUUUAGUUGUAAUUAGUGUUUUGUAGAGUAAGACAUUCAUUUGAUAGAUGAAGCAGACUCCACUAUCCCCAGCUUCACCCCAGUUAUUGCCAGUUGGUGGCGAGUCUCCACUCUUGCCUGCUACAUCCAUUCAUCAGGUUCGACAAUUUAUCCUUCAGCCCACAAGAGGAACCCAACAGAACCAAUGGAUCAGGAUGAAGCUAGACAGAAAGUCGGUGUUUUGAGGGCCAAUCCGAAAGGUGAGGAAAUCUUCAAGGAGCGCAACAAGACUAAAACACUACCUGAUGCAACGUGUAAACGGAUGGUGAACAUCCUGGUUGCAGAUAUGAUGGAGCUGCAUGGGUCACUUCCCCCUUCCCAUUAGAACAGUCAUUCCACACUGUCAUCAACUGCAGUAAGACCAUGUAGUGUGGGAAUGGUUCUGUGAUCAUUAACUAUGACGUGUUUUGAAAGGAGGGUUCCGCCAUCAUGUGUGACGACAAAUUACGCCCUGAGAAUUGUGACUGGUUUUCUAUACAUCAAAGAUCCAUUCUCCAAACCUGGAUAUGAUGCUUAGCUUAGCGGCAGUGGCUCAGGAGGUAGAGCAGGUUGUCCAGAAAUCGUAAGGUUGGUUGAUCCUUGCUCCCUCCACCCAGUCACUGUUGUGUCCUACACUUCUCCUGGCUGUCAAAGUUGUUCCAAGACUGUUUCUUCAGGAUGGUCCAAAAACCACAGGAGAACAUCUGUUAACUGGUCAACAGCUGUUUGAUGAGGAGUGCAGGGAGGCACUACCUACAAUAAGACAUUCAAACGAUGAAUCCGUGGUCAAAGAAGAUGAGAGCAACUUUCCAGUAUCGACAGAAUAUGAUCCAAGCACAAGAUGUAUCAUCGUCUGUCCUCUGUGUUCCCUAGCUUCCUUGAUGUUGCUGGAUUGAUUGACCAGGAUUUCUCAAUGAUGUUAGCUGAUGAAGUAUCUCAGAGGUUCCUGGCUAAGUGGUCAACUGUCUUCAAAACAAAAGUCCUUGCAGACUGCAAGACUCUCCCGCAAAAGCAGAACAUUGAUGAGUUGCUGUCAGGAACUGAACCUCAACCUGAUGACAGCUGUGGCUGGGGCAGUGAUACAUCCUCCAACCUUCUACUCCUGCAUCUGCUCCCUCUGACUUCUCGAGGCCAGGAAAAAAACGGCAAAGAUCAGAUUGUCAAGCAGCCAACCAUCUUCUCAGACAUCUUAAGGAAGGAGCCAGUGUGACCCCCUUCCGAGACUUGACACAAGACAAGCAUUUCUCCUGUGCAUCAGUGAGCGAAGGUGACAUCCAGAGGUUCUACAUGAUUGACCAAAAGCCGGUUCCAUGCAAGGCACAUACAUUUAUUGCAUCUUUUGAUGAACUGUUCAAAGCUCGCUAUGUCUUCAGUCUCUCGUAUGGUUAAAAAUGGAUAAGAGCAAACAUUUGGGUCUGAAUGCUGCCCAGUCAUGGUGUCUUCUAUGUAACACUCCACUUAUAUUUGGUGAUGUCAUUGAAAGGAAGAAUGAUCACUGGAACUUCCUCCUCCUUUUCAUGCAGAUUGUCAACAUACCUGUAGUGUUCUCCUACACCAUAACUGAUGGAAUGAUGCUUUACUUGAAACAUCUGAUAAGUGACCACCACACUCGGUACAAAGCAUUGCUUCCUGGUAAGAAAUUGAUUCCCAAGCAUGGCUUGAUGAUACACUAUCCAAGAUGCAUACAUAAAAUUGGCCCUCUUAUCCAUACGUGGUGCAUAUGUUUUGAAGCCAAACACAAUUCUUUCAAAAGGUGUGGUUAAGAUUUUCAAAAAUCUCAGUCAUUUGUCGUGGCCUUUCACUAUGAAAAUUAUUUUAGAAGAUUUGCAUUUGGCCCUACAACAUCAAACGAUCUGCAACUUGAAAGGUGGGGAGGAACGUGGUCAGGCAUGAUGUCUGCAAGCAUCUUCCAAGUGUGUCAAGUACCAACUGGGUGAGAAGUUACGGUAUAGAGCACCAUGUUGGUGUGUUCAUAUGUACUGGAUGUAGCUUUGAGCUACCUGUGUUCAAGAAGAUCUGUGAUAUAAUAAAACACAAAGAAUGUGCUUUCAUAAGAGCCUGUAAUGUAGAAACGAUGUACUACGAUGACCUGUUUAACACGUACUGCAUAGAAGACCAAAUGCUUGGUUUUCUGUCGUGUGUUUAAAUGAACUGACUCAUUUCAGACCAUUUGACAAGCAGCGCUCUAAUGACAAUUGUCAAAGAGCAUCCGUAGUGCCCUGCUGUUAUUUAAGCUACUGUCUGUUGGAAAUGUUUUUGAAUAAAAUGUAUGA